GAUGAACGCUGGCGGCGUGCCUAAUACAUGCAAGUCGAGCGAACGGACGAGAAGCUUGCUUCUCUGAUGUUAGCGGCGGACGGGUGAGUAACACGUGGAUAACCUACCUAUAAGACUGGGAUAACUUCGGGAAACCGGAGCUAAUACCGGAUGAUAUUUUGAACCGCAUGGUUCAAAAGUGAAAGACGGUCUUGCUGUCACUUAUAGAUGGAUCCGCGCUGCAUUAGCUAGUUGGUAAGGUAACGGCUUACCAAGGCAACGAUGCAUAGCCGAACUGAGAGGGUGGUCGGCCACACUGGAACUGAGACACGGUCCAGACUCCUACGGGAGGCAGCAGUAGGGAAUCUUCCGCAAUGGGCGAAAGCCUGACGGAGCAACGCCGCGUGAGUGAUGAAGGUCUUCGGAUCGUAAAACUCUGUUAUUAGGGAAGAACAUAUGUGUAAGUAACUGUGCACAUCGUGACGGUACCUAAUCAGAAAGCCACGGCUAACUACGUG
RNAcentral lists this ribosomal RNA (497 nucleotides) under uncultured bacterium. RNAcentral's name for it is "partial 16S ribosomal RNA". It matches the Rfam family "Bacterial small subunit ribosomal RNA", at positions 28 to 507 of the family's 1533-position model. The record is from RNAcentral.